Long non-coding RNA from Bombus pascuorum, 1216 nucleotides. RefSeq lists it as uncharacterized. The record is from RefSeq and is a predicted model, not a curated record. The transcript is spliced from 3 exons. NCBI's taxonomy places the organism in Eukaryota, Metazoa, Arthropoda, Insecta, Hymenoptera, Apidae.
GAGCAUCUUGAGGUCGUGAUGUAUCGUUUCGUUGGUGACGUACCAAGGUGCAUCUAUUAGGGAUCUCAAGGUUUUCGAUUGGAAUCGUUGAAGAAUUUCUAUGUUGGAAUUACUUGCUGUUCCCCAUAGUUGGAUUCCAUAGGUCCAAACAGGUUUUAAUAUAGCUUUAUUGUGAAACAUUUGACUAAACUAUUUGAACUCUCACGCAGUUCCAUGUGGAUAAUUGACGCUGCGGAGAUGUGCCACACGCGGUCCAGUUGAUAUUUGGCCGGAGCUCGUACUACACAGAACGUUUAGGAAUUUCAUGAACACCAUGACGAGACACAACUAUCCUGAUCAUAUUGGUCAGGUUUGAAACGGACCUGAAAAUGUGUAUACAAGUUAGAAGAUAUGGAGUUAAAGAGAAAGCUGCUUCAGUUUUUCGUAGAUGCAUCUGGCCAUCGUGGUAAGUUUAUUUUUAUUUAUUAUUACUAAUUUAAUUGGUAAUACUGUAAGCCUGACUGUUUUAAUAAAUUUCCAACAUGUUUACAACGCAACUUUUAAGAAGCAAUGGAAUUAGAGGUAAACGAGUGGCUGAUAAGAACUCGGAUGAGAGCUGGGACGCAAAGUUUCACGUUAGAACGCAAAUUGUUAAAUUUGUAGCAAAUGAAUUAUAUGUCCACAGGUAUAUGCAGGUCGUGUCGUAAUGGACGCGUCACGACCCAGCGAGCACCAAUUAAAAAAAGGAGGAGACUUAUUCUCGCGACCGUCGAAGAGUCGGUUAUCAUGUGAAUUAAUGAAAUAGAAAAUUGCCUCUGGACGCCGAGCACACAGCUACAAAAUCGGUGCAGGUGCGCCAGCCUGUCUUCCGUUUAAUUUCGAACAUCGACGUGAAAAAUUGGCGCGCGACCUUCUGCCUUGAUUACGUGCCACCCGGAUUCAACCUCUGGCCUCGUCGCGAGGCAAAAAUUUCUCGUUCAUUGGCCCGUAAGGGCUCUUUUCAAAGGGCGCUGCCAGCCUCGUACGAGCAAGGAAAUCUCUUUGAAACUGGCACUGGGCCCCGCUUAAUAUUAAUAGCAGCAUUUGCGGCUCCGUAUGAACGACAUUUAACUAACGAGACGCCUCGAUUCGGUCACCGUGCUUCUUUGCCUUCUUUUUCUCUUCUCGCUUCUCUUUUUCUCCUUUUCUUUUCUUUUUAUUUUAUUUAUUUAAGGUCGCACCUACCUCUGAGCGUUAU